Molecule: ribosomal RNA, 465 nt
Filed under: Vreelandella stevensii
Lineage: Bacteria; Pseudomonadati; Pseudomonadota; Gammaproteobacteria; Oceanospirillales; Halomonadaceae
Description: partial 16S ribosomal RNA
Rfam family: Bacterial small subunit ribosomal RNA
Source: RNAcentral
CCUACGGGGGGCAGCAGUGGGGAAUAUUGGACAAUGGGGGCAACCCUGAUCCAGCCAUGCCGCGUGUGUGAAGAAGGCCCUCGGGUUGUAAAGCACUUUCAGUGAGGAAGAACGCCUGGUGGUUAAUACCCAUCAGGAAAGACAUCACUCACAGAAGAAGCACCGGCUAACUCCGUGCCAGCAGCCGCGGUAAUACGGAGGGUGCGAGCGUUAAUCGGAAUUACUGGGCGUAAAGCGCGCGUAGGUGGCUUGAUAAGCCGGUUGUGAAAGCCCCGGGCUCAACCUGGGAACGGCAUCCGGAACUGUCAAGCUAGAGUGCAGGAGAGGAAGGUAGAAUUCCCGGUGUAGCGGUGAAAUGCGUAGAGAUCGGGAGGAAUACCAGUGGCGAAGGCGGACUUCUGGACUGACACUGACACUGAGGUGCGAAAGCGUGGGUAGCAAACAGGAUUAGAUACCCGAGUAGUC